Molecule: long non-coding RNA, 332 nt
Organism: Tachysurus vachellii
Lineage: Eukaryota; Metazoa; Chordata; Actinopteri; Siluriformes; Bagridae
Exons: 3
Source: RefSeq, a predicted model, not a curated record
UGCUAUCUGAGUAGCUUAGGAUUGCACUUCAUAAACUCAAUUACGCUGAUCAACUCAGAGACAACUGGGGAGGUGUUCCGGGCAUGUCCAACCGGGAGGAGGCCCUGGGGAAGACCUAGGACACGCUGGAGGGACUAUGUCUCUCGGCUGGCCUGGGAACGCCUCGGUAUUCCCCCGGAAGAGCUGGAGGAAGUGUCUGGGGAGAGGGAAGUCUGGGUGUCCCUGCUUAGACUGCUGCCCCUGUGAACCGGCCCCGGAUAAGCGGUGCUCUCUGCUGGCAGUGUCUCUUUGAGCGCCGCUCGCUUUCAUCUGUCCAUCUCUGCAUCUCAGCC